Molecule: ribosomal RNA, 255 nt
Filed under: uncultured bacterium
Lineage: Bacteria
Description: partial 16S ribosomal RNA
Rfam family: Bacterial small subunit ribosomal RNA
Source: RNAcentral
UACAGAGGUGGCAAGCGUUGUUCGGAAUUACUGGGCGUAAAGGGCGCGUAGGCGGCCAUCUAAGUCAGACGUGAAAUCCCCCGGCUUAACCUGGGAACUGCGUCUGAUACUGGACGGCUUGAGUAUGGGAGAGGGAUGUAGAAUUCCAGGUGUAGCGGUGAAAUGCGUAGAUAUCUGGAGGAAUACCGGUGGCGAAGGCGGCCUGCUGGGCAGUUUAGCUGACACCGAGGCGCGACAGCGUGGGGAGCAAACAGG